Molecule: ribosomal RNA, 478 nt
Filed under: uncultured bacterium
Lineage: Bacteria
Description: partial 16S ribosomal RNA
Rfam family: Bacterial small subunit ribosomal RNA
Source: RNAcentral
GACGAACGCUGGCGGCGUGCUUAACACAUGCAAGUCGAACGGUAAGGCCCUUCGGGGUACACGAGUGGCGAACGGGUGAGUAACACGUGGGUGAUCUGCCCUGCACUUCGGGAUAAGCCUGGGAAACUGGGUCUAAUACCGGAUAGGACCACUGCCUGCAUGGGUGGUGGUGGAAAGCUUUUGCGGUGUGGGAUGGGCCCGCGGCCUAUCAGCUUGUUGGUGGGGUGAUGGCCUACCAAGGCGACGACCGGUAGCCGGCCUGAGAGGGUGACCGGCCACACGGGGACUGAGAUGCGGGCCAGACUGCUAGGGGAGGCAGCAGGGGGGAAUAUUGCACAAUGGGCGCAAGCCUGAUGCAGCGACGCCGCGUGAGGGAUGACGGCCUUCGGGUUGUAACCCUCUUUCAGCACCGACGAAGCGCAAGUGACGGUAGGUGCAGAAGAAGGACCGGCCAACUACGUGCCAGCAGCCGCCGUAA